GUGGGGAAUAUUGGACAAUGGGCGAAAGCCUGAUCCAGCCAUGCCGCGUGUGUGAAGAAGGUCUUCGGAUUGUAAAGCACUUUAAGUUGGGAGGAAGGGCAGUAAGUUAAUACCUUGCUGUUUUGACGUUACCGACAGAAUAAGCACCGGCUAACUUCGUGCCAGCAGCCGCGGUAAUACGAAGGGUGCAAGCGUUAAUCGGAAUUACUGGGCGUAAAGCGCGCGUAGGUGGUUUUGUAAGUUGGAGGUGAAAUCCCCAGGCUCAACCUGGGAACUGCCUCCAAAACUGCAUGACUAGAGUACGGUAGAGGGUAGUGGAAUUUCCUGUGUAGCGGUGAAAUGCGUAGAUAUAGGAAGGAACACCAGUGGCGAAGGCGACUACCUGGACUGAUACUGACACUGAGGUGCGAAAGCGUGGGGAGCAAACAGGAUUAGAAACCCGGGUAGUCC
RNAcentral lists this ribosomal RNA (450 nucleotides) under uncultured bacterium. RNAcentral's name for it is "partial 16S ribosomal RNA". It matches the Rfam family "Bacterial small subunit ribosomal RNA", at positions 354 to 796 of the family's 1533-position model. The record is from RNAcentral.